AAAAAGAAAAGAAUGGGGAUGGGGCAGGAUGGUGCUAGCAUAUAUAAGACUGAAACACCAAAGUCCUCCGUGGAAGUUAAUGAAUUUCUAAUAGUGAAAUAAGGUGGCCAAGGAGGCAGAGAUGGAGUCAGGGACUCUGUGAUCAACCCUGAGGAUUGGGAAGGAACUAUACAUACCAGGAGGCAAGGAGCACUGGGGGCCCUCCUGGAACUGCCUGUCACAGCGUCCUCAAAGCAGUAUGAUGGUACUUCCAGUACCCCAGUGACACCUAGCCUGAGAAAGAAGCAGAGAUAAAGUCUAUAGAGGAAGAGAGCAUCUGAAUGACGUUUGAGUCCCUGGAUCCACUGUGUGAAGCCAGAGCCACUCCUGCAAGUGUUUUGUUUAGGUUUAAAUUUGAUUGAGAUUUUUAUUACUUCAAAGUAAAAAAUUCUUACUAAUGCAAUGCCUUCAGCCUUCCACCUCAAAGUCACUGAAAGGAUCUUAAUAUUUU
This 490-nucleotide long non-coding RNA is filed under the name Homo sapiens (human). RNAcentral describes it as "HSALNT0107700". The record is from RNAcentral. Lineage: Eukaryota; Metazoa; Chordata; Mammalia; Primates; Hominidae.